CGUCUUCAGGGCAGGGUGUGAUUCCCGACCGGCGGUAUAGUCCGCGAGCCUUCGGGCUGAUCCGGUGCGACUCCGGAACCGACAGUAUAGUCUGGAUGGAAGAAGACG
Molecule: non-coding RNA, 108 nt
Filed under: bovine gut metagenome
Description: FMN riboswitch (RFN element)
Rfam family: FMN riboswitch aptamer (RFN element)
About the family: The RFN element is a highly conserved domain that is found frequently in the 5'-untranslated regions of prokaryotic mRNAs that encode for flavin mononucleotide (FMN) biosynthesis and transport proteins. This element is a metabolite-dependent riboswitch that directly binds FMN in the absence of proteins.
Source: RNAcentral